GAUGAAGAACGUAGCGAAAUGCGAUAAGUAAUGUGAAUUGCAGAAUUCAGUGAAUCAUCGAAUCUUUGAACGCACCUUGCACCCUUUGGCAUUCCGAAGGGUAUGCUCGUUUGAGUGUCAUUGUACUCUCACACUUCCAAUCUUUGGAUUGGGAGCAGUGGACUUGGGUGUUGCUGCUUACUGUGGCUCACCUCAAAUCGAUUCGUGCACCUCUUGGUUGGACAUAGUACGGCGUGAUAAGUGUCUUCGCCGGCACCUCAGUAGAGGGUGGCUGAUCAGGAGCUCUGUGCUUCAAACCGUCCUCGGACAAAAACUGACGACUUGACCUCAAAUCGAGUAGGACUACCCGCUGAACUUAAGCAUAUCAAUAAGCGGAGGA
This 379-nucleotide unclassified non-coding RNA is filed under the name soil metagenome. RNAcentral describes it as "partial contains 5.8S ribosomal RNA, internal transcribed spacer 2, and large subunit ribosomal RNA". The stretch from base 1 to 120 matches the Rfam family "5.8S ribosomal RNA", at positions 35 to 154 of the family's 154-position model. The record is from RNAcentral.